Molecule: transfer RNA, 70 nt
Filed under: Camelus bactrianus (Bactrian camel)
Lineage: Eukaryota; Metazoa; Chordata; Mammalia; Artiodactyla; Camelidae
Also listed under: 1 other name
Rfam family: tRNA
About the family: Transfer RNA (tRNA) molecules are approximately 80 nucleotides in length. Their secondary structure includes four short double-helical elements and three loops (D, anti-codon, and T loops).
Source: Rfam by way of RNAcentral
GGAUAUAGCUCAGUGGUAGAGCACGUGCUUAGCAUGCAUGAGGUCCUGGAUUGAAACCCCAGUACGUCCA